RNAcentral lists this ribosomal RNA (468 nucleotides) under uncultured bacterium. RNAcentral's name for it is "partial 16S ribosomal RNA". It matches the Rfam family "Bacterial small subunit ribosomal RNA", at positions 28 to 507 of the family's 1533-position model. The record is from RNAcentral.
GACGAACGCUGGCGGCGGGCUUAACACAUGCAAGUCGAACGGAAAGGCCCUGCUUUUGUGGGGUGCUCGAGUGGCGAACGGGUGAGUAACACGUGAGUAACCUGCCCUUGACUUUGGGAUAACUUCAGGAAACUGGGGCUACUACCGGAUAGCAGCUCCUGCUGCAUGGUGGGGGUUGGAAAGUUUCGGCGGUUGGGGAUGGACUCGCGGCUUAUGAGCUUGUUGGUGGGGUAGUGGCUUACCAAGGCUUUGACGGGUAGCCGGCCUGAGAGGGUGGCCGGGCACAAGGGGACUACGAUAGGGCCCAGAGUCGUACGGGAGGCAGCAGUGGGGAACAUUGCACAAUGGGCGGAAGCCUGAGGCAGCAACGCCGCGUGCGGGAUGACGGCUUUCUGGUUGUAAACCGCUUUAGCCUGUGACGAAGCGGGAGUGACGGUAAUGGGUAAAGAAGCACCGGCUAACUACGUG